UACGUAGGGGGCAAGCGUUGUCCGGAUUUAUUGGGCGUAAAGAGCGUGUAGGCGGCCAUACAGGUCAGCUGUGAAAACUCGGGGCUCAACCUCGAGACGUCGGUUGAAACCGUAUGGCUAGAGUCCGGAAGAGGAGAGUGGAAUUCCCGGUGUAGCGGUGAAAUGCGCAGAUAUCGGGAAGAACACCCGUGGCGAAGGCGGCUCUCUGGGACGGUACUGACGCUGAGACGCGAAAGCGUGGGGAGCGAACAGG
Molecule: ribosomal RNA, 253 nt
Filed under: uncultured bacterium
Lineage: Bacteria
Description: partial 16S ribosomal RNA
Rfam family: Bacterial small subunit ribosomal RNA
Source: RNAcentral